GACGAACGCUGGCGGCGCGCUUAACACAUGCAAGUCGAACGGAAAGGCCCUGCUUUUGUGGGGUGCUCGAGUGGCGAACGGGUGAGUAACACGUGAGUAACCUGCCCUUGACUUUGGGAUAACUUCAGGAAACUGGGGCUAAUACCGGAUAGGAGCUCCUGCUGCAUGGUGGGGGGUGGAAAGUUUCGGCGGUUGGGGAUGGACUCGCGGCUUAUCAGCUUGUUGGUGGGGUAGUGGCUUACCAAGGCUUUGACGGGUAGCCGGCCUGAGAGGGUGACCGGCCACAUUGGGACUGAGAUACGGCCCAGACUCCUACGGGAGGCAGCAGUGGGGAAUAUUGCACAAUGGGCGGAAGCCUGAUGCAGCAACGCCGCGUGCGGGAUGACGGCCUUCGGGUUGUAAACCGCUUUCGCCUGUGACGAAGCGUGAGUGACGGUAAUGGGUAAAGAAGCACCGGCUAACUACGUG
This 468-nucleotide ribosomal RNA is filed under the name uncultured bacterium. RNAcentral's name for it is "partial 16S ribosomal RNA". It matches the Rfam family "Bacterial small subunit ribosomal RNA", at positions 28 to 507 of the family's 1533-position model. The record is from RNAcentral.